GUGUUGCGGGGCGCGAUGUUGUUUUGUCGCGGCGAUCAGCUGGAAGUGGCGUCGCCGGUCCGCUCUGACACAACAGCGGGAAGCCCCCGGAGCCCCGAGCCGGCUCCCCGCCGCACCGAAACACGCCGGCACCGACGGCCCGAUCCGGGCAUCGCGAUCCAGGAAAUGCGGACUUUUGGCCCUUUCGCCACGGGGCAAAUGGCUGCAGCCGCCCGUACUGAAGCGAGCUGCUCUCCCUGCUCGUCUCACAGUGCCUGUGAAGCGUCUCUGAGGGGAAAGACC
This is a long non-coding RNA of Gasterosteus aculeatus aculeatus (three-spined stickleback), 282 nucleotides long. NCBI's taxonomy places the organism in Eukaryota, Metazoa, Chordata, Actinopteri, Perciformes, Gasterosteidae. The record is from Ensembl.